GACGAACGCUGGCGGCGUGCUUAACACAUGCAAGUCGAACGGAAAGGCCCUGCUUGCAGGGUGCUCGAGUGGCGAACGGGUGAGUAACACGUGGGUGAUCUGCCCCUUACUUUGGGAUAAGCCUGGGAAACUGGGUCUAAUACUGGAUAGGACCAUGCUGUAGGUGGUGUGGUGGAAAGAUUAGUUUCGGUAAGGGAUGAGCUCGCGGCCUAUCAGCUUGUUGGUGGGGUAAUGGCCUACCAAGGCGUCGACGGGUAGCCGGCCUGAGAGGGUGGACGGCCACAUUGGGACUGAGAUACGGCCCAGACUCCUACGGGAGGCAGCAGUGGGGAAUAUUGCACAAUGGGCGCAAGCCUGAUGCAGCGACGCCGCGUGGGGGAUGACGGCCUUCGGGUUGUAAACCCCUUUCAGCCAUGACGAAGCCCUUGUGGUGACGGUAGUGGUAGAAGAAGCACCGGCUAACUACGUG
RNAcentral lists this ribosomal RNA (469 nucleotides) under uncultured bacterium. RNAcentral describes it as "partial 16S ribosomal RNA". It matches the Rfam family "Bacterial small subunit ribosomal RNA", at positions 28 to 507 of the family's 1533-position model. The record is from RNAcentral.